This 288-nucleotide ribosomal RNA is filed under the name Gonyaulax spinifera. Its description in RNAcentral is "partial Bacterial large subunit ribosomal RNA". It matches the Rfam family "Bacterial large subunit ribosomal RNA", at positions 27 to 358 of the family's 2925-position model. Lineage: Eukaryota; Dinophyceae; Gonyaulacales; Gonyaulacaceae. The record is from RNAcentral.
GAUGCCUUGGCAGUCAUAGGCGAUGAAGGACGUGGUAGCCUGCGAAAAGCUACGGGGAGCUGGCAAACAAGCUUUGAGCCGUAGAUGUCCGAAUGGGGAAACCCACCCUUUUAGGGGUAUCGCACAGUGAAUACAUAGCUGUGCGAGGCGAACCUGGAGAACUGAAACAUCUAAGUACCCAGAGGAAAAGAAAUCAACCGAGAUUCCGAGAGUAGUGGCGAGCGAAAUUGGAACAGCCUGUACGAUUUAGCAUUUGAGUUAACAAAACGGUCUUGAAAGUCCGGCCAU